Molecule: ribosomal RNA, 109 nt
Filed under: Prolemur simus (greater bamboo lemur)
Lineage: Eukaryota; Metazoa; Chordata; Mammalia; Primates; Lemuridae
Source: RNAcentral
GUCUACGGCCUUACCACCCUUUAUGUCCCCAGUCUCGUCUGAUCUUAAAAGCUAAGCAGAGUCGGGCCUGGUUAGUACUUGGAUGGGAGAAAAGUGACAACUGCAGAAA